This 43790-nucleotide long non-coding RNA is filed under the name Capsicum annuum. Its description in RNAcentral is "long non-coding RNA (CANN_LNC008382)". The record is from RNAcentral. Lineage: Eukaryota; Viridiplantae; Streptophyta; Magnoliopsida; Solanales; Solanaceae.
UUAUAGUGAUGUACUUUUUAGGGUUCACGAAACAUCCAUUCACCUCCCUCUAGAUUCCAUAACUACGAAUACUUACCUAAACUUCCAAUUUUCUUCACAUUUUGCACCUUUAGUUUAAUAUUAUCCUCCUGCUCCCUGUUUUUAAAAAGUUGACUUGUUCUUUUUAAUCUAUUUCAAAUGAAAUGACUCUUUUUUUCUUUUUAGAAAUACUUCAGUUGCAACUUCUCGUAUGACACGUUUAAAAUCACAUGAUUAAAUGACAUUUUAAAUUUGAUAUAACUUUAAUUUAAGAUUAUAAAAUUUAAAAGUCUCUUUAUCUUUUUAAACUUCGUGCUAAGUUAAACUACGUCACUCAUUUGAAACACGAGGGAGUAAGAAUUUUUCUGGAUGCAAAACUACAAAAAUAUUUUUUGUUGCAUUAGAAUACUUGUACUUUAUAGAUUAUGACAUUCAAAUUAAUAACUUUAUAAUUUUAUAAAUAAUUAAACUUUAUGCACUGUACAAUUUUUUAUUAAAUUAUAACAAAGUCUAUCAAACAAGGUGAUUAUACUAUUAUAUGAUAGAUAAAAAUUUGUUAUUUUACUCGUAUAUUGGGUAAUACGUUUUAAUGUAAUAAAAAUAAUUGUAAGUCAUUUAAUUUAAUGUUAUAAUUUCAGUUGCUUAGUAUGUAACAGAAAAAUAGCUCUAUUAUUUGAAAAAACAGGUUAGUAAUCACAUGUGAAGUUAAUCUAAAUUUCCUUUGAGAUUAAUUAAAUAUUAGAUUUUACUUGUUUGAGGCAUAGGUAACAACGAAUGAUAUAUCUCCAAUUACGUAGCUUCAAAAAUUGAUUAAUUAUGUGUGUCCCUCCAUCUUUCAAUGCUAAACAUGUGUCUCAUUUCUGUAAUUCCUUCAAACUUCUAUUUGUUUCAAUUCAUCCCCUCAUAUUAUCGUUUUCAAUUUGUUUGAUGUCGCCGAGUUCUUUGUCUACGAUUUUUAGUUUUGUUUUUCGAUUGAUGCAUUGUCGUGGAAUUUCUUGUUGGUUAAUCCAGAUACUUUAAUUUGAUAUAUUGUUGGCUCAGAUUUAUACCUGUCAAACAAGCCAGGCUGGCCCAGCCCGACCCAUUUUAAAAAAUGGCUCCGUUUGAUCCGACACGGUCAGCCCACGGGCUGUAGGAUACCAGGCCUCGGGCCGGUCUAUUUUUGGUUUUAGGCCCAGUUAACCCGGCUCGGACCAAGCUUGAUCCAGGCCUGCCGGUUAAUCGGCCCGGUUAAUUUUGUUUUAUUUUUUUUUUUUUAAAAAAAAAAAUGAACUAAUUUAUAUAAAGUAUUAUUAAUUAAUUAUAUUAAGUAACAUAUAUUUUAUUUAAAGAAGUACAUAUAUUUUAUAUGUGGACGUAUAUAUUGAAUGACACGUAUAUAUGUGUAUAUAUCUUCUAUAGACGUAUACAUUUAAUGUAUAUAUAUUUGUAUAUAAUUUAUAAAUUAGUAUAUCACUAUAUAUAUACUGUGUGUAUAUAUUGUAGUAUAUUUGAUUUAAAGUAGUACGUAUAUAUUGAAUAGUACAUAUAUAUGUUUAUAUAUUUUCUAUAGACGUAUAUAUUUAAAGUAUACAUGAGUAUAGUUUUAUAAAUUAGUGUAUAACUAUAUAUAGUGUGUGUGUGUAUAUUGUAGUAUAGUUAUAUUUUAGUAUAUUUUAUUUAAAGUAGUACGUAUAUAUUGAAUGGUACGUAUAUAUGUGUCUUUAUCUUCUAUAGACGAAUAUAUUUAACGUAUACAUGUGUAUAUGUUUUAUAACUUAGUAUAUAACUAUAUAUAUAGUGUAUGUAUAUAUUAUAGUAUAUUUUAUUUAAAGUAGUACGUAUAUAUUGAAUGGUACGUAUAUAUAUGUAUAUAUCUUCUAUAGACGUAUAUAUUUAACGUAUACAUGUGUAUAUAUUUUAUAAAUUAGUAUAUAACUAUAUAUAGUGUGUGUGUAUAUAUUGUAGUAUGUAUAUAUAUUGUAGUAUAUUUUAUUUAAAGUAGUACAUAUAUAUUGAAUGGUACGUAUAUAUGUGUAUAUAUCUUCUAUAGACGUAUAUAUUUAACGUAUACAUGUGUAUAUGUUUUAUAAAUUAGUACAUAACUAUAUAUAUAGUGUGUGUGUGUAUAUUGUAGUAUAUAUAUAUUGCAGUAUAUGUUUUAUUUAAAGUAGUGCAUAUAUAUUGAAUGGUGCGUAUAUAUGUGUAUAUAUCUUCUAUAGACGUAUAUAUUUAACGUAUACAUGUGUAUAUGUUUUAUGUAUAUAUAUAUAUAUUGUAGUAUAUAUAUACUGUAGUAUAUAUUUUAUUUAAAGUAGUAUGUAUAGUCGUAUAUAUUGAAUGUUACGUAUAUAUGUGUAAUUGUGUCUAUCUGUAUAUAUUUUUUAAAUUCUAAUGUAGUAUAUACAAUAUAUAUAAUGUAUAUAUAUUGUUUAACGUAUUUAAAAUGUAUAUAGGUGGGUAUAUAUAGUGUAUAUUGAAAAAAAAACUUUGGUUUUUGAUCGGAUUUAGAUGGGCUAGACUUGGUUGAGCUAAGUGGGCCGAUUCAGGGUUGUUUUUAAAAAUUUUACUGUUGAAUCCGGACCUAGUUCGGCCCACUUAACUACAACUCGGACCAGCCCGGCCCACAACCCGACUACAUUUAACGGGUCAAUUUUAGAUUGAACAGGCCCGACCCAUUUAACACCCUUACUCAGAUUGAAAGGAAUUUUGAGUGUGGGAUUUAUUCUUGUAUUAAAAAAAAAAUCUUUUAUUUUUCUUUCUUACGAGGAAAAAAGUACAAGUUCAUCUAAUUUCUAUUAUUAUAUAAUAAGUGAAACCUUGGUGGUGCUACCAAGGAUAGUUUGAUAAUUAAAGAAGGAUAUACUCGCAUUGAAUGGAACACGUAACAUAUUUAGGACUCAUUUGGUAGAGUGUAUAAAAUAAUAUUGAAUAUGUUGUAUUAGUAAUACUGAAAUUAGUAGUGCAGGGAUUAAUAAUAUUAGGAUUAGUAAUAUUGGGAUUAUUUUUUAUGUAGUGUUUAGUUUGAUGCAUGGAAAACAAUAUGUAUUGUUAUAUUUUAGAGUAAAUACAUAAUUACACCACUGAUCUUGUCCGAAAUUUUUAAAAAGACACCUAAACUUUAACUUCGACCUGUUACCCCACAAAUCUUCUUUAUUUCGUUGCAAAUACAUCAUUUUGACCCUCUAUGUGUAUACACGCGCCACAAACGCGUGAAAAGACAAAAAAUGACUUUUUUUGACCAAUUAGAAGCUGUCACAUGUAAAUAAUUUAAUAUAUAUUUUAUAUUCUUUUACAAAAAAUAUUUAUUUAUUUUAAAAAAUUAUUUCAUAACCCUCCACCCACCCCACCCACGCAACCCCACUCAUCCAUCAUUGUCUUCUUCCCCAACUUCUUCUUCAUCACCAUAACUCAACAACAACAUCAAUUACAACAACAACAACAUCAUCAUCACCAUAAUUUAAAAAAAGAAAUCUGAUGUACAAUCUCCAUUUUAAUGGAGGGAAUUGGACGGGAAUGGGGGAGAGAGGUGUUGGACGGGGUAGGGAUGGGGAGGUGGGGUGGGGUCCUAAAUAAAAAUGGAGUUUAAAGCUUCAUUAAAAUGAAGAUUGUACAGGAGCUUUAAGCUCCAUUUUAAUGGAGGAAACUAGACGCGGGGGGAGGGGGGAGUUGUUGGACGCGGGUGAUAAAUUAAAUAAAAAAGAAAAAAUUUAUUAAAAAAUAAAUAAAAUAUGAAAUUAAAAAUAUUUGACACGUGGCAGCACCUGAUUGGUGCGUGCAUUCACUCUUUUUUUUGUGACUGAGAUUCAGUGAAAAAUGGUGUAUUUGCAAUCAAAUAAAGAAGAAUCAUGGGGUAAUAGGUCAAAAUUAAAGUUUAGAUGUCUUUUUGCAAAACUCGAACAAGAUCAGUGGGAUAAUUAUGUAUAUACUCUUUAUUUUAUAAUUAUCUGUAAUUACUACCUCCCAUUCACAAUUAAUGUAAGCAUCUAAUCUCUUGAGCUAAAGAGAAUUUUCUUUCUUCUUAGCUAUUUGAUUAUAGCGAAAAUAGGGUUGAAUUUUGUACGAAGACAUUGAUGUAAGCGUUAGUUAUUUUGAGUUCAACAUAAAUUUCUUCAUCUCGCCUAUUGAAUUUCUCAUCAUUUUCUUCAAGAAAAAUAUUUUCAACAAAAUAUGAAAAAAUUAGUCCCUCAUCUAUGGACUUUAAAAGUUGAUCUAUUUAACAAAUAUUUGCAACAACUACAAAUAUUUCUAGUCUUUCAAAUUUGAUCCAAAUAAGUGAUUUUUUUUUGUAAAAAAAUAAUUUUGUCACCAAGUAGAGAGUUUACAAAAUUAGACAGAGCUGACUAACUAUCUCUCAAAAAAAUAAAAACACAAAACGUAACUGAAAGUAGGACUCACACUAACAAGCCUAGGAAGUCACUACUCAGAACUAAGAACUAUCAACACAAUAUUAAGCAAUUAACCCGUGCAAACAAAAUCAGGAAAAAAAAAACUUAAGGCAUAGAGUUCAGCUGUUGCAGAUGUGUAGACCAUUUUCUUUGUUGCCUUCCUCUGAUGUGUAUAUGAACAACUAUCUCCUUGGAGACUCUAUUAACCUGGUACCUAAUUUGGCUCGUUUCUCUCCAAAUGAUAGUGACCAUCAUAGCAAAUACACAACAAAUAAUAGCACCUUUCUCUGAUAUGCCUUUUGCUCAGCUAAUGAUCCACUCUAUUUCAUGGUGCCAGCAACCUACAGUUCUGUGAACACCAAGCCAUACUAACAUUCUGUACCACAGUCCACUAGUCACUAGACAAUCAAAAGGUAGGUGAUUAUGUGUUUGUACAGCAUUAUGACAGAAGACAUAGGAGGAAUCAACAAUAACUUUUAAUUUUACUAGUCUAUCCACUGUUGCAAGCCUUUUCAAUAGGCAAAGCCACAAGAUGAAGUUAUGCUUUAGAUGAAUGGUAGCUUGGAGGGCAAUACUUUUCCAAGGAACUUUUGGAAGGUCUGGUAGCAAUGGCUGUGUAGAGCUUUUUGAUGGAGAACUUCCCUCUCACUGUUAACAUGGCUAAUCUUAAAUGAAAAUCAUCCUGCAACCCAGGAUCCUGCAUAAUAACUCUAUUUGAUUACAUCAUUUUUCUAAUAACCCAAGUAGCUCUUUUAGGAGUGCAACAAUCCUCAACAGUAUCACCUAUCUAUACAACCCACUACCUUAGGCAAUACAAAUUUUCUCCCAAGAUACUAAGUCUCUCUUAGAGGGGCAUGUAUGACCUAUCUAUAGGAAUAUCCUACAUGGGUAUUAAUAAGAUUCAUGAUCUUCUUGAGAAGUAUAAAGACCUGUGCCCAAUAAGUUUAUUUGCUAAACACAACAUACUUUUAUUAAUUGGAGCUUGCUUGAGUAUGCUAACAACUUUGUUGAUCAAUACUUUAUUUUUUCAAGAAUUUUAUCCACUGGAGGAAAGCAUUAUUCUACUGUUAGUUUUAUAGAGGAAAGUGGAAUUCCAAGGUAUUCGGAGAAGAUUUAGGUAGAAGUACACUUUGAAAACUUAUUUUGGAAAAUAGACACCUUUUUUAUUUGACCUAAUUUUUUAGAGUUUUGUGGGGUAUGGGUUAAAGUGUAAAAUAUAAAAAACUUUUGACACCCCUUAAGUAUUUAUUAAAUCUUUUGGAACCUCUUUAUGUAUUUAUUAAAUAUAUUUUUAACCCCACUCUUCCAUUAAUAUAAAAAAAAAAUUCUUUCUCAUCUUCUCUCCUUACUCUCUCCCGUUUCAUCUCUCCUUUCCACCAUUUUCAAUUUCGAGCUUGUGUAAAUUAUCUCCAACUUCGAUCUUCAACUUCUUCGAUCUUCAACUUCAGGUAAGUUAUAUUCAUCUUCCGAUUAAUUUGUGCUCCAUAUUGAUGAUUUUUUUUUUCGAAUUCGUUUGUGGAGGUUGAACUCAUUGGAGUUAAAAAAAAUUGAUUUCUUUUUGAAAACGAGGCUUGAUUUUAUUGAAAUUGGUUGUUUUUAGUUGGUAUUUACUUGAUUGUUGAUGGAUAAUUGGAGUAUAUUGAUUAUCCUUGGCGAUUGUAUGUUAAAAUUUCUUCACUAUUUUCAUCGAAAUGUGGCAAGAUAUGUGAUUUUGGUUCAAACUUUUCUCUAAUGUAAUGGUUUUGUAGAAGCAUGUUCAUGUUGGGGAUUUCUUGGUUUGAAUCAUACUCGUAUUUGAUAUUUGAACCCAAAAAAUUGAAUUUUUUUUGAAAAAAUGGGACUUGAUUUUACUUAGAAUUUGUGUUUUUAAGUUGGUAUUUGGUUUGAUUGUGCAUUGUUUUUGUUGGAUUUUAAUUUUCCUCGAUGAUUGCAUUGAGAUUUUUUUGCCAAUUUUCUCGGUUUGUGUGCUAAAAAUCUGGGUUUCUUCCUGUUUUUGUUCAAUGUAAUGGUGAUUUAGAUGCAUGUUCUUAUGGGUGAUGGAGUUGUUUUGGAAGAAACUUCUUCUGCAAAUAGGCUUUUUUGGUGUUGCAACUGCUGUCAUGUUAAUAGACUGCUAGGUUGAUUAGGUAUUGUAUUUGCUGUUAUAGCUGAGAAAUGUUAUUUUUUGUCCGUAGAUCAUAACAAUGGCUCUAGGUAACAAACGCAAGGCUGUAGAAGUUGAUAGGUCUGAGAAAAGAAAAAAACAAGUAGUCGAUGAAUCAAAGAAUAGAAAUUGUAGCGAGAAAACUGUUGAAGCUUCGGUUCGAGAUAAGCCAGAGGAAAUAGAAAUUAAGGCUAGGAUAGAUGAGGAAGCAUUAAUCUUGCCCCACUGUGACAAGGGUUAUUUCAUCUAAGAGGUACGGCCUCGCCACAGUCCUGGAUGAUGUCGGAUUAUUUUCGGCUAAGAUAUCCGUUAGGUCCCGUUUGAAAAUGUUUAAUGAAUUCAAACAAGUCGUGGUUGAUCAACGUCUGAAGUCUAGGUUUAAGAAUUCCUAUUUUGAUGGUUUAUGGGACUUGCCAGAACAUAUGAAGUUCAACGGACAGCUUGUCCACUAUACACUUCUUCACCGAGUUGAACAGGACAACAAGCUGCAUGAAAUGUGGUUCUGCAUCAAUGACAGGCCUGCAUUUUUUGGCCUGAAAGAGUUUGCGGUAAUCAUAGGUUUAAACUGUGGGCGUUAUUUUCGUGAUUCAAAAUAUGUCAAAGCAAUGGAGGAGGGUGAAUCUUUUUUCAAAAAGAUUAUGAAAAAGAAGAGUGUAAAUGCGAAGAGAUUGUUGAAGUUUAUUAGAGGUGGGAGGCUGGACAAGGAGGACAAGUUCAAAUGCUACUUGGUUUGGUUCGUGCACUGCAUAUUGCUUGAACGCGACUUGUCAAAAAUCGUGGAUAUAGAAACAAUCAAGAUGGUGGAUAAUUUGAGCUUAUUUGAGAGAUACCCUUGGGAUAAGGAAUCAUUUACCUUGACUCUAGACUAUCUAAAGAAGUGGAUAGACUUCAGCAGGCAGAAGAAGACAUUUGAGACAAAGGGAGUUUCAUCGUAAGCAUUCUACGAAUUUGCCUGGGCAUUUAUCGUAUUUGGUUAUAAACUAUUGAAGUAGUUUAUAAUAUACUGUAAUUCAUCUAUGGUGUCUAUAAUAUAAUGACUCUCAGUUAUAUGUUUUUGUUUUUUUUUAAUCACAGAUUUGGAUAUACGAAGCCUUUCCCACGCUCGACAGGGGAAAUGGUAAAUUAACUGAAGACCCGCUGCCUAUUCCCCGAUUGCUUAGAUGGCACACUUCAAAAGGCGAUAAACUAAUUGAAAGUGAUCUAUAUUUGAACGGAUGAAGCACAAAGGUAUGAAACUAUUUUUCCAAAGAAUACUUUUACCAAUAUUGUGUUGCUAAUCAAUCAUAUUUGCCUAUUUAUCUGUAGAGAGUACAUCCGCACCUUAUCCCCACAGUUUGUGAAAUAAAGUAGCACUACAUGAAAAAGUUCAAAGCAUUCACGGACGAACCGAAGUACACGUUCAUCGAUAGCUUGAAGGCCCACCUGGAGGGUGUGACUGUCAUGACCUCAUCAGAGGAUGAUAAGGAUGGGGAUGAUGACCGAAAUUUGGGUGGAAAUGCUAGUUUAAGGCAUGUCACUCGGGGUGCGGGGACGAGUAAGCCGAGGGCAUCGAAAAAGACACCAUGAUUAAAAAUUUGAAAGAGUGGGUAUUUAAGCUGGAGGAGUCGAUUAAGGAAAUCGUUGAUUUUGUGAAAGAGGAGAGGCUGAGGAGAGCAGAAAAGGAGAAGCAAGAGAAGAGAGAUAAAGAUGAAGGUAAUAUCUGCUCUAUAUAUUAUAUAAGUUGCAUAUUUUAUAUAAUCCCUUUUACUUAUAAUAGAAUCUAUACCAUUCUUCAUCAACCGAUAUCUUAAUUUAUUAUAAACGAAAAAUACUUAAAAAUGCAACUGUGCAGAUGCAAAGUCGGCAUUCAACGGCGAGGGUUGUCCAUGAUGAUAGCAGCAUUAAAGAAGCGCUCCUUGAGGUAGCAGCUUUAGAACAGGGCUCGAUCAAUGCUGAUGAGGUGAUGAUCCCUGAGGUUGCAGCUGUUGUAGAGAAGGAAAAUCUCGAUGAAGGCGAUGAAGAGAAAGAAGAAGAAAAAAAUUGAAGAACUUAUUUGUGAAGAAGAAAACAAAGCUGAUGGAUCAUCUGGUGUGGAGAAGAAGGAUCACGACGAAGACAGGCAGGAUGAAGAUGAUAAAAAUGAGAAAAGUGGUUGUGAAGAAGAAAAUAAUGAAGGAGAUAGAGAGAAAAUAGAAGAAGUAGAGAAAGAAAAGGGAGAAGAACAUAAAGAAGAAGGAAAAAAUUAUGCACCAGAAAAAGAAGGCAUCGUAGAGAAAGAAAAUGGAAAUGAAAAUGACAAUGAAUUUUCGAACUUAGAUGAAUUUCUUAAUGAAGUUACUCAGGAUAUCGACAAGAUACAAGUGGAAGACGAAAAUAUUAAAUGUUUAGACAAUGUUUAAUUUUUAUUUGUGGUUGAUGAUUAUUUUUAUUAGACUAGACAAUCUUAACUUUUUAAAUUUUCAGCUCGGGAUGUGUAGAGGUGAUCAAUUUUAUUUUCUAAACUACCUUUAUAGUUUAUGAUAAACAUUUUUUAUUUUAUAUAAUCAACGUAUCAUUGCUUUUACAUAAAUAUCAUCUUUGAUUAUAGACUCUGACUAAAAGGUAAAGCAUAUACAGUAGAGUGUUGUGUAGUCGAUGAAUGAAAAAGGUAAACCAUAUAUAAUAUAAGUAAAAAGUAGUCGAUUAAUAAAAGAGUCAGAAUACAUUCAAUCCCACUACACCCCAAUUACACCUUUCCAAAAAGCUAAAACUAAUAGUAAAUCAUACACCAUAAUUUUCAUGCCCUUUUCUUUUUCUUCAGCCAUAGCCAACCUAUGCUUAAGUUGAUCUCCCUCAAUUUCAACGUCUUUUAACAAUCCCUUUAAGUGAUCAAUCUUGUGUUUUGAUUCUUUAUAUAAUGUCAGAAGAAGAUCCCUGUUUUCUUCAGAAUCUCUAAGCCUUUCCAACAUAUCAAACUUUGCAACGCCUUAAAAUUUUGACACCCUAAAAUUGGAGGGAAGUCACUUGAAAUAAGAGCAUCCACCAUUAUCCUUAAAAAAAGAUGAUAAAUUAGUAAAUUGGAUUAUGUGAUGAACAAAAAUAAAUUUUUAUUUAAACAAAAACCAACCUCUCCAACCGCACAACUGUAGAAUUUUUUACCCGGAUUUCUAUCGAUUUGUGAUGUUUUCAACACCACAAGAUUACCACAAUGAUAAAUAUAAGAACAUUUGGACGUUUGAGAUGACUACAACAUUGUUAUUGUUGAAGCAAAACUAGAAAGUGAUGAAUAAAUGAACAUGGAGGAGUUCAAAAGGGUCCCUUUAAUUAAUAUAGUAGGGCUAUCUAAUCUGACCGUUGGAAAAUUUUGCCCAUUUGAAAUUGUACCGUUGGAGAAAAUUUAAAUGAAUUAUCAUUUACUUCAAAGGGUCUCUAGAGAAUGUUUAUGUCUUCUAUAAUCGACUGUGUCACGUAUGAAUUAUAUACUGGUAUCAGUGUUGAUGAUCCUGUAUAUUGACAUAUUAUUGAUUUAUACAGAGGUCGAUUAUAGACCUUUCAUAUAGUCUAUGAUCAACUUACUGAAUAUAUGGACAACUUAAAAUAAUGGUAAAAAAGGAGAAAUUAAAUAAAAUAAAAUUAGAGUAUGAUAAUUAACCCCAUUAAAAGAUUGUAAAGCAAUUUUGAUACAUCAAUUGUGACUCCCAAUCACUUUUAAACGUGAUAAAGUGUUUUCCAAGACACGGUGUAGUCGUAGAUCAUUGAGAUGACACAAGAAGGAGAAGAAAUAAAAUAAAAUAAAAUAAAAUAAAUAUUACUCAUCCAAGCACUAAAGAACGACUACUUAUCAUGACAAGAAAUUAGAUUUGUGUGAUGACCAUAAGGAAGAGUAGUGGUUGUCACUUGUGAGUGUUCAAUGAACAAGUAGUGCAUGAGAACAAGGAGUCCUUCUCAGCAGAGACGCUUGUUAUGAGUAAUUGGUUGUUACUACCAUUGCCCUCCCCUGUACUCAUUUGAUCGAGUGUCCAAUUAUUUUGUAAUCUCAUAUUAUGAUAUUUAGUCACUUUACAUUGCGCGAAUGAUGUUUAUUUUAUUUUAAUUCUUCCUUUUUUAAAUCUUACCUCCUUUGAAAAUAGACUUAGUUGGUCGAUACAUGACUAAUAAUAUAGUCUGGUAUAGAUAAAACUAAUUAUCUAUAAUAUACUCAAAUACCACCUGAGUCUAUUUUAAAAGGAGGUGAGAUUUAAAAAGGGGAGAAAUAAAAUAAAUAAACAUCAUUCACGCAAUGUAAAGUGACUAAAUAUCAUAAUAUGAGAUUACAAAAUAAUUGGACACUCGAUCAAAUGAGUAUAGGGGAGGGCAAUCCAAUUACUCAUAACAAGCGUCUCUGUUGAGAAGGACUUCUUGUUCUCAUACAUUACUUGUCCAUUAGCACUCACAAGUGACAACCACCACUUUUCCUUAUGGUCAUCACACAAGUCUAAAUCUCUUGUCAUGAUAAUUAGUCGUUCUUUAGUGCUUGGAUGAGUAAUAUUUAUUUUAUUUUAUUUUAUUUCUUCUCCUUCUUGUGUCAUCUCAAUGAUCUACGACUACACCGUGUCUCAGAUAACACUGGAUCACGUUCAAAAGUGAUUGAGAGUCCCAAUUGAUGUGCCAAAAUUUCUUUACAAUAUUUUAAUGGUGUUAAUUGUCAUACUCUAAUUUUAUUUUAUUUAAUUUCUCCCUUUUGACAUUAUUUUAAGCUGUCAAUAUAUUCAGUAAGUUGAUCAUAGACUAUAUAAAAGGUCUAUAAUCGACCUCUUUAUAAAUGGAUAAUAUGUCAAUAUACAGGAUCAUCAACACUGAUACCAGUAAAUAAUUCAUACGUGACACAGUCGAUUAUAGAAUUCGUAUUUAGCGUAGUCGAUUAUUUAUCUGUACUGUACUUCGAGUUUAAAUAAUAUUUGUAAAUCUUUAAAUAGGGACUAUUGAAGAAACACCAACAAAUCAUUAUAGAUAAAUAGAAUAUCAUGAAGACAAAAACUUGUUUAUAGAUAUAUAAAUAUUCAUUACAUCUAUAUUUAUAAUUUUUGAAAAAAAAAUUCCUAAAAAAAGUCAAAAACGAAGCUUUAAUUUACAUAAUCCUACCAUGAAAGCUUAAUUCGGCAAUGAACUACAAAACAAACAAACCUAAACUAGACUAGGGAGAUGAAGGGGGGGGGGGGUUGAUGAUUUCACGAGGGUCUUGGUUGAGCCUCUCGAUUAUGUCCCAAAGAAAAUGAGCCAUCCGUCGGAGCUCUCUAUCCAUCCGUCGUUGAUCGGCGGCAAGACCCUGAAAAAGGAAAUCCAGGUCACUCCGAAGCCUAAGAAACUCUAUGUUGUUAAUUGUUGUCAUUUUGUGCAUUGGUCGUAAUGUGUACCUUCUCCUAGCCAUCUUCUUCUCCCUUAAUCUUUUUCUUAAAAAAUUAGGUUUGAAAUCGACAAGGGCCUCUUUAAAUAGACCAGAGCAUGAGAAAAUCUACCAAUAGAAGCUGUACACGUGUUGAUGGAAGGGGAGAAGGCAUGCGAGAAUAAAAAAUAAAAAGUCACGGCGGCUGUGGCAGUCGAGGCAUUUCAAAUCGCAUUAUUUUUGGAAGUGUAAUAAUUACAUUAAAAGGAUCAGUGUAUGAGGAAAAAGGUUUUUUUAAUAGACUACAAGACUAAUCGAUGAUAUACUAUGUAGUUUAAACUAUACCCCAUAGACCAUGCAUCGAUUCAUUAUAUAUUUUGAGUCCAGUCGAUGUGUAAUGUGCAUAAUCGAUUUCAUAACUUGGGAUGACUGUUUUCAAAAUGACACUUUUUCUAAUGCGUCAUAAUUAUUUUGAAUUCAACAUUGUAUGAAGAAAAUGAUUUGUUAAUAGACAACCAGGAAGAUUUAUUAUACAGUAUUUAUUAAAUAUUUACUCUGUAGACCAAACACUGAUAUAUUAUAUAUUAUGAGGCUGGUCGAUUAUUUUAAUCUAUAAUCUAAUUAGUAAGUAGUAUAUAAUAUAUGAACUGAUAUCGCUAAUGCACAAUAAAAAAAAGUCAAUUUAAACUGCAGUUCAGUAGUUUUCAAAACAGAAUAUACAUUACAUACUGUCCAGUGCAUUUGAACAAACAAAAACAUAAAAUACAAUGCCAAUCAUAUUAUCCUACGUUAUGGCUACAUGUUGUUCUCUUAUGUCCCGGCCUUUUGCACUUGGAGCACUUAUUUUUUUUCUUGUACCUUGAAGGCUCCAAAACACCCUUAACAUGUUUCACCUUCCUCCUUUCGAGUUUGGGAUCAAAAUCGGGUAGAAGAAUUUGCAUUUCUAGAUACUCUCGCGGCCACACUCCACUCCGACUCCAGUGGUGCUUCACAAAUAGGUUCCAAGUAUGCAAGGAGGUAUGACUCUUUCGAAUAUAUUUACGAAGAGUAGUUGUAAAUUCUAGUGACGUAUUCAUCCCCGUGCUUCAAACGCAAUACUGCCAUUGCAUGAGCGCAUGUUAAUUUCACCAAGUUGUACUUUCUGCAAGAACAUAACCGUCUCGAACGAUUAACUUUGGCUGAAUGACCAUAACCAAGAACGGUGAAUUAGUCGGUGCUUCCGUUUAUGUUAUUCACAUAUAAUUUGUCGCCUUCGGUCAUGUUUUCACUCAAUAUCAUCUUGGCUACGAGAACGAAUAUUGUCUUUGAAUUGUCUACCUCCGUAUACCUCUUCUUAAAUAUUUCUCUGAACCUAUGAAUUGAAGAUGGCCGCCAUUGGAUACUCUCUUUCAUCGCGUAACAUUGAGUUGAGCGACUCGGUGAUGUUUGUGGUCAUGACGUUGUAUCGAUUACCUGGAAAGUGAGCCCAACUUCACUUUUCAAAUCCAACUUCAUGCUCGAGGUAAGCUGCUAGGAUGGGGCAUCUUUCUUUAAGGGCGUUGAAGUAGUCAUUAAAUUCUUCCAACGUGUACGCCUUGGCCGCAUGGUAGUACAAAUAGAGAGAAUUGGAGCAAUGGUGAUUUGUUAAAAGAUUUUCACCAAGAUGCCUCAUGCAAACACCAUGAUGCAUAGUCGGAUAAUGCCUUGUGAGGCCGUUGGCUAUGCUUACGUGUCUGUCAGAGAUAAUGCACAACUCUGGUUCGUCGACGGCAAAGGCUUUAAGCUUCUCAAAGAAGAAGCCCCACGAUGCUUCGUUCUCUUUAUCCACCACACGAUACGCUAAGGGAUAGAUAUGAUUCUGCGUAUCUUGAGCGACAUCGGACAACAGCACGCCCUCGUACUUGCUGGAAAAAUGCAUGCCAUCAAUGGCAAUGACCUUUCUCAUAUGUGCAUAUCCACGGAUAAAACCCCAAACGCCAUAAAGUAGUAAAUAAACCUGCCCAACUUCUCGUCGGCCAUGAGAGAAUUAAUAGACCCGGGAUUGAGGCCAUUAAAAACAUAUAAAAAUGUGGGAAGCACUGCAUAUCCAUGCUCGGGCGUACCUCGAACUAUGUUCUUAGCAAUGACGCCUGCCAUUCAACACUUCCUACAGCCCGGUCUGCAAUGUAGCUCCCUAAAUACGAUCCUCUCGAUCUCUUUCAGACUUGGACCUUUGUUGUUGACAAAAAAGUUCAAAAUAAGUAAGGCAAUGACCUCCACGGUGACAUUCUUGUGCUUUCCCGUGACAUGAUCAACGCCACAAGUAUGCUCUCCUACGUACUUAUGGAUAUGAAACCAACCUGAUUCUCUGAUAGCACAUACGUGCACCAUUCACUGGCAAGUAGGAUCUUCGCACCUCACCCUCAAGUAUUUCUUACAACUCUUCACCAUUAUGUAAUUGAACGAUAUUUUCACCAAUGCCUGCUUCAACAAAAGAUUCAAUAUUUUCUUAUCCUUGAAUGUUUGUCCUGCAAAAAAGUUGGUGUCAUCCGAGAAAAAGUAACUUCUUUAUGGUUCGAGCUUUUCGUCCUCACCUCUUCCACACUCUUCUUCUUUAUAAUCUUCACUAUUAUCCCAUUCAUCACCACCCAUCGAAUCGGAUUCUGUUGAUGUAUCAUUCACUAUCGAGGGUGGGGGUGGGGGUGGGGGUUAUCAGAAUCAACGCAAAGCAUAUAUAAUUCCACGUGUCUAUUAUUCCUUAUAAACGUUGGAUGUAUUUUCCCCCUCCCAAUCAUCAAGUAACUAAUUAGCACCUCGCUUUGAUCACAACUUAAUUCACCGCUCUCCAUUACGCUUUUAACCAUAUCAACGUAUGAACUGUAGUGACGAAGGGCAAUGGACACUAUCUCCUUAGACGCAGUUUUCCAAACCCAACAUUUAGGAGUCUCCUUCCAUUCACCAGAAAAUAUACCACCAGCAACCACGUAAUCUAUAAUAGACAUGAUAUACCUUGAUAAUAGUAUUUAAUAGACUUAAAUAGUGGUUUAUACGCUUAACUUAAUAUACUGAAGUCUUUUUCUUCUUAGCUGCUAGUCGUACAGUGCAUAAUCUACCCUUUUUUUAUGACCACUAGAAUAAUCCGAUGAAUUUCAGCUUACAAACAACCUAAGGAGUGUUGGGAUAUUGCUAUUGAGCCAAUAAUCAAUUUUGAAAUGUGGGACUGAUUUUCAAGCUUUUUGUAUGAAAAUGGAAGAAAAAUCAGAGCUAAAAAUAAGCAAAAAUGACUUAAAAUAAUGGAGAUAAUGUCACUUUCAGAUGGAUGCCAAAAAAUUCGAUGAAAAAUGGUCGAAAAAUCGAGGAAAUGACACCAAAAUUGGGUGGUUGGAGUGGAUCGGUUGAGAAGCUUUGGGAUAUUUUUUUUUAAAAUUAAUUAUCCAAUAUUUAUAUUUUUAGAGAUGGACUAAAGUGUAGUUGUAAAAUAAUUGAGGCUGAAAUGGGGAAAGGGGAUAAAGUGUGUAUUUUGUAAGUUGAGUGCUAGGGUUGCAUUUUCUUUUUGUGGUCCCAUUAAAGUGUCUAUUUUUUCAAUUAAAAAAACUUGAUGUCUAAAUGUCAAAAAAGGUUUGGGAAGUGGCCUUUUAGCCAACUCCCCCAGGUAUUUGAAUGGGAGAGUCCCUUCACAGAACCCCAGAGACUGGAUAAUCUGUUGUUUCACUAAGUCUUUAACACCUAACAUGAAUAUUGAGCUCUUGUCUUGAUUGGCUUGUAACCUUAAAGUUAUAGAAAAUUUAUAUAAUGUUUGGUGCAAGAGCUCUAUAGAGGCAGUGUCACCAGGUGAUUCGAGCUAGUCUUAUUUCAUCUGUGAGGGGUAGGGGUGCUAUUAGAGGUGCAAAGGGUAGAGGUAGUAGAGCUCAAUGGGGUGGCCAUGGGGCCACUCAGGCUAUUGGUGGUCAUGGGGCUACCCAGGUAGCUGGUGGUUGUGGUCAAUGUUAUGCUAUACCAGCCAGACCUGAGGCAGAGGCUUCUGAUGCUGCUAUUAUAGGUAUUAUCCCUAUUUAUUUCAGACCUGCAUCUAUAUUAUUUGAUCCCAAAUUGACUUUCUCCUAUGUGUCUGUAUAUUUUGCUUCGGGUUUUGAUUCUGUUAGUGAGCCUCUUGCUAUGCCUAUUCAUGUAUCCACCCCGGUAGGUGAUUCUUUAGUGGUGGAUUAGGCUCACCGAUCUUGUGUUGUGACUUUUGUCGGGCAUGAGACUUUGAUAGACUUGCUUGUGUUAGAUAUGAUCGAUUUGUGAUGUUAUUUUGGGUAUGGAUUGGUUAUCUCCUUAUCAUAUUGUGUCAGAUUAUUUUGCCAAGAUCGUGACUUUAGCUUUGCCGGGUGUGCCAAGGAUAGCUUGGAAGGGUACACUUUAUUCGGAUCCUAAGAGGAUUAUAUCUUAUGUACAGGCUCGUAAAUUGGUUGAGAGGGAAUAUUUAUCUUACUUUGCCCAUAUUCGUGACACUAGUGUUAUUUUGCCUCCUUUCUUAGAUUCUGUCCGUAUUAUCCAUGAGUUUAUGGACGUGUUCCCUACGGACUUGCCUGGUGUGUGUCCAGAUUGAGAUAUUGAUUUCGCCAUUGAUGUUGAGCCGGGCACCAAACCCAUUUCUAUUCCUCCUUUUAGGAUGGCACCAGCAGAGUUGAAGGAGCUAAAGGAUCAGUUGCAGGAGUUGGAUAAGGGACUUAUUUGACCUAGUGUUUCACCUUGGGGUGCACCUGUAUUGUUUGUAAAGAAAAAAGAUAGGUCUAUGCGGAUGUGUAUUGAUUAUCGACAGUUGAAUAAAGUGACGGUUAAGAAUAAGUAUCCUCUUCCUCACAUUGAUGAUUUAUUUGAUCAUCUUCAGGUUGCUGCAGUGUUUUCAAAGAUUGAUUUGAGGUUCGGUUAUCACCAGUUGAGGAUUAGAGCUUCAGAUAUUCCAAAACUACUUUUCGAACUCGAUAUGGUCAUUAUGAGUUCUUGGUCAUGUAUUUUGGAUUGACCAACUCAACUACCUCAUUCCUGGAGUUCGUGAAUCAGUUAUUUUGACCAUAUCUCAACUCCUUUGUUAUUGUGUUUAUAGCUGAUAUCUUGGUUUGUUCCAAGAGUGAGGUUGAGCAUGAGAAGAAUUUGUAAAUUGUGCUUCGGAGAUUGAGGGAUGCGAAGUUGUAUGCUAAGUUCUCUAAGUGCGAAUUUUGGUUGGAGUCUGUUUCUUUCUUAGGUCAUGUGGUGACUAAGGAAGGUAUUAUGGUUGAUCCAACCAAGGUUGCAGCAGUUCGUGACUGGGCUAGACCUACUUCGCCCAUUGAGAUUCGGAGUUUUAUUGGCUUGGCUGGGUAUUAUCAGUAUUUUAUUGAGAUUCAUUGUAGCUCCAUUGACCAAGUUGACCCAGAAGAAGAUUUCUUUUCAGUGGUUCGAUGGUUGUGAGGCGAGCUUUCUGAAACUCAAGGAUUUAUUCACUUCAGCUCCUAUAUUAGCUUUGCCUAAGGAGGGCGUGGGCUUUACUAUUUUUUAUGAUGCUUUAGGUAUUGGGUUAGGUGCCGUGUUGAUGCAGGAGGGUAAGGUAAUUACGUAUGCAUCUCGUCAAUUGAAUCCUCAUGAGAGAAAUUAUCCUACCCAUGAUUUGGAGUUGUGCGCAGUUGUGUUUGCCUUGAAGUUGUGGAGACACUACUUGUAUGGAGUCCGUUGUGAGAUCUUCUCAGAUCAUCAUAGACUUCAGUACUUUUUUACCAGCUAGAUCUUCAUAUGAGGCAGCGCCAUUAGCUUGAGUUGCUUAAGGAUUAUGACUUGACUAUUCUUUACCAUCCGGGCAAGCCUAAUGUGGUUGUGAAUGCCUUGAGCCAAAACUCAACUAGCAUGGGCAGCUUGGCGCAUCUUUUGACCCAGGAGAGGCCUUUGGCCUUAGAGGUUUAUUUUUUAGCUAACCAGAUGGUUAGACUUGAUAUUUCGACACCAGGGUGUGUUUUGGCAUUUGUAGAUGCUAGAUCUUCUUUGAUGGAGUAGAUUCGAGCUCAUUGGUUUGGUGAUGUUGGAUUGAGGUUGAUUUGAGAUAAGGUAUUGAGUGGGGAGGAUAAGGUAGCCUCACUUGAUUCAGAUGGAGUUUUGAGGAUAGGGGGCUGAGUUUGUGUGAUGAGAGUAGUGAUUAGAUUAGGCCCAUUGUUCUAGAUAUUCUAUCCAUCCAGGUGUGACUAAGAUGUAUCGUGAUUUGAGAUAACACUACUGGUGGGGUAGUAUGAGGUGAGACAUAGAGGAUUUUGUGGCUCGUUACAUAUGUCGUCAGCAGGUGAAGUCCAAGCAUAUGAGACUUUGUGGUUUGUUUCAGAGGUUACCAGUUUCCAAGUGGAAGUGGGAACGAAUCACUUUGGGCUUUGUGAUUGGUUUUCAUAGUUUUGACAGUGUUUGGGUCAUCAUGGAUCGAUUGACCAAGUCAACUCAUUUUAUUUUGAUUCAAGUCUCAUUCAGUGCUGAGAGGUUAGCCCCUAUCUAUAUUCGUGAGAUUAUGCAUAUGUAUGGUAUGCCAGUGUCCAUUAUUUCAGAUCGAGGUUUUGUGUUCACAUCUCACUUUUAGAAGACUUUUUAGGAUGAGUUAGGUACUCAGGUUGAUCUUAGCAUAGCAUUUCACCCCCAGACUGAUGGCCAGUCAGAGCGAACUAUCCAGGUUUUGGAGGAUAUGCUUCGCGCAUGCGCGAUGGAUUUUGGUGGCCAGUGGGAGCAACAUUUGGCUUUAGCAGAGUUUGCAUAUAAUAAUAGCUACCAUUCCAGUAUUGAUAUGGCUCAUUUUGAGGCGUUGUAUGGUUGCUGCUCCCCAGUAGGUUGGUUUGAUUAUUCAGAAGUGAGACCUCGAGGUAUGGACUUGCUUCGUGAGUCUUUGGAUAGGGUCCGAGUCAUUCAGGAUAGACUUAGAGCAGCUCAGAGUAGGCAGAAGCGUUAUACUGAUCGUAGACUUCGUGCCCUGAUAUUUAGUGUUAGUGAUCGUAUUUUUCUUCGAGUUUAACCCAUGAAAGGUGUGAUGAGGUUUGGGAAGAGGGAAAAGUUAGCCCUGGGUAUAUUGGUCUAUUUGAGAUUUUUUGGACUAUUGGUGAUGUGGCUUAUGAGUUGGCUUUGCCCCCUGAUCUAUCAAUUGUUCAUUCAAUUUUUCAUGUUUCUCUGUUUCGUUGCUAUAUUCCUGAUGAGUCUCAUGUCAUUCAUUGGGAGUCGGUUCAAUUAGAUGAGCGGUUGUCCUUUGUUGAGGAACCAAUUUUCUUUUUGACUAGGGAUAUUAGGCGGUUGCGCUCUAGAGUGAUCCCUGUGGUUAAGGUCCAGUAGUGACAUCGACUGUAGAUGAAGCUACUUGGGAGGCCGAGUCUGAUAUGCGUAAUCCUUAUCCCCAGCUCUUUGUUGAUUUAGGUAUUUCUUUUACCUUAGUUCGAGGACGAACUAUAUUUUUAGUGGGGGAUGAUGUAACGACCUAAAAAUUUAAUGAAAUAUGUAAAAUUUGUGAAUUUAUAUGAUUUAACUAUUUUAUCCCUCUCCGUAGUUGCAUUAUGAUAUUUUGGGGAUGUGGGAGUGAUUGACAUGAUUUUCGAUGCAUUUUGGUUCAUUUAUGUGAUAUUGUGGUUUUUGAUGGCUUCGAAAACCUUAUUUUGGAUUUAUGUGGAUAUCUUUUGAUCCAUACGAUGGAUGGCCGAACGGACUAUGCCAGAAGCUCCAGAAUAUCGAUUUUAGGCUAGGUAGACCUUUGGUUCGAGUCCCGGUUCACCGGAGCUCAUUUCGACUUAUUGGUCAGAAAGUUGAAAAAUUGGAAAUUUGGAUGUGGCACCCACAUUUGGUUGAAACGACCUCGGAUGGAAAAUUUAACUUUUCCAGUAGAUCCAAAAUAUCAAAUUUAGGGUGUUAGCAUGUUUGGUAUGAUUUUACGGCUUUUAAAUCUCAUUUCGACCCUUGAUUUGAAAAAUUGUAAUUUCGAAUUUUCGGGGUCAACUUUGUGAAAACGAUAUUUUUUUGAAAAUUUUAUAUCUCCAUCGCAUUCGGAACAUCAAAUUUAGUAUGGUUGCAUAGUUCGUUUGCAUGUAUCGGACUCCGAGCGAAUCCCAAGCACCCCGUCGAAAUCCGAUCAACCAACAAAAAAACUACUAUUGCAGAAAAUCUGCAAUAAAUAGCAGAUUAUAGCAGAUUUUCACCCUUUUGGGGCCUAUUUUGCUCAUUUUUCAUCUUGUCUCUUGAGAGUUAAACCCAAAAAUAGUUUGAGAGCUUAAAAGUGAAGCUUGUGGGAGCUUGAGAAGCGAGAUUAACAUCUAUUUCUUGGUUUUAUUACAGAUUUAAGGUAAGAAUUCACCCUUUUCUUAGUGAUUUCUUAAUUAAUUUCUCAAAACCUCAAAAAUUUUAGGGCAUGAUUUUAAACCCUAUUUUCACUUGAAUAAUAUUUUUAUCUUAUAAUUACUAGUUUUUCAUCAAUUUAACCUUCAAAACAACUUCAAUCCUUGAUUUUAACCCGAAUUUCAAAAAAUUUACCUGAUAAAGCUCAAAAAUGAUUUUUCUUCGAUUUAAACCUCUUUUUUGACUCAAAUUAACUUAAGUUUUUAACUGUAGGUUUCUAAAAAUAUGGGAAACAUGUUUUUGAAGUAAAGUUUUUCCCUUAUUUUUUGGAAAUCCAUUUUGGGAAUCCGUUUUAAUCCCGAACCAAAAGUAGUCAAUAUGGGUGUUGUUGGUUUUGUUUUGACACAUAGAUUUCAUAUUUGAUGUUUUUAGUAAAGUUCGGUAUUAUUCUUGAAAAUAAGGUCACGGGUUCAAGUGUAGCGGACCGAUUUCGACUUUCGAGGUAGGUUAUGGCUUAACUCUUUCAGACUGGGCUGAGUAGUAAAUAAUGGUACAAAAUGCAUGUUAAGGGUGGGAACUAAUCAUGAAAAAUGGCUAUCUAUGUGUUGUAUCCGUGUAGGGUCCUAUAUGUGAUAUAAAUGUGAUAUAAUUGUCGAAAUUGAGUUAUUAUGUGAUAUGUGUGACCGUGUGAGGUCCUAUAUGAUAUUAAUAGCCUUGAAUACAUGUGAAUAAUUGUAUUAUGUUAUUAAUAUGCUUAAUAUGGUACCAUUGGUGUAUUGCGAUUAUAUUCAUACUUUAUUUGGCAUAUGAGACAUGUGGAAAUUCGUUGAUGAAAAUGAAAUAAUGAGUGGAUAUUGGCUCACAUGAUUGUGGAAAUAUAUCAUUGUGGUUGGUUGUGAAAAUACUCAUUGUGAUUGGUUGUGACCAUUACUUCCUCAUAUCAUACUCAUUCAUGAAAUAUUGGUACCACCGUGACAACAUCUGAGAAACACUGGCAACACCUUUUUAAAAUCCUCCCUGAGGGAUGUGCCGGGAGGAGAUAUUACAACACCUUAUAAAACCCUUUUUGAGGGAUGUGCCAAAAAAGAGAUAUGAGAUAUGUGGAUCGUAUACGGGUUCACGAAUCCCACAUAGGUUCUACAUUGGGAAGCUUUAGCUCCGUAGGUAUAAUUUUGACACCCUUAUUGCCUACGUGGCACACACAUGUGCCUACGUGGACAAUUCAAUGUGUUGUGCCACCAUGUACCACGUAGGCACUAAGGGUGUCAAAAUUAUAGUUUUAAAUAGUUUAGGGGGGUAAUAGGACCCCCUUUAAGUUGAGGUGUGUCAUAGCCUUUUUUAGUAUAGUUCAGGGGGGUAAUUGGGUAUUAUCUCAAUAAAAAAUGUCAAUUCUUUCGUAGAACUGAUUAAAAGAAUAUACUAUUUGAAUUGAGAAUUAAAAUAGACAUUCUGAUAUAAUGCAUUAACUUUUUUUACUACAUAUUAAAAUAGAUUUAUAGUUAAAAGUGUGUGGAAUUCGUGUGAAAGAUUACAUCAUUAAUGACAAUGAAAAGAUUCUAAUGAAAUAACCAUUUUAUCUAUUUUUUUCAUUUAAAAUAGAGUUGUAGUGAGACCAACAUAAAAAAUUAUACGAAAAUAUUUAAAAAUUUAUGAAAAAACCAUUAUACUCUUGUUUAUAUUAGUAAUUUUUACCUUAAACUAACUAUCAAUAAUUUUAAGCAAAAACAAUAAAAUGCAAUAAUGAAUGUUACAUUCAAAAAUAACUUGUUUAUUCCGUGUAUUUAGUUAAGAGGAGAGAAAACUCGUUUGGAUAACAUGAUUCAAAAAAUAUUUAAAUGGAACAAACUUCAGGUAUAACUUCUCUUUAAAUUUAAUAUUAUUCUUCCCAUUUGAUUCAAGUAUAUUAUUAAAAUUUACAUUUAAUAAAAAUAUUAUCACAUAAAUUCUCAUAUAUCAUAAUAAAGUAUGAACAAAAUUCACUACUUAAAUUACUUUUUAAGGUUUAACAAAUUACAUUUUAAAAUUAUUUUAGAUAUCGUUAAAAAGUUCAACUUGAAAUUAUUUUUGAAUGAUGUAAACUAUGGAUAUAGGAAUGCCUUGUAAAUAUUUGUUACUCUCUCAAUUUAAAAAAUAAAGACCUAAUUUUCAUUUUACUUUGUUUAAGAAAUAAUAAAACUUUUUUUUUGUUUUACAAUACUUUGUUUCAACUUUUUACGUGUUAUGUUUAGAAUCACAAGAUAAAAGGUAUUUUGAUACAAUUGACAUAACUUUAAUUUAUGAUCACAAGAUAAAAAAGUUUUCUUUAUUUUUUUUAUUCCGUGUCAAGUUAAAAUAGAUCAUUCUUUUUAAAAUAAAGGGAGUAAUAUAUUUUUUUAUUUCUUUAUUACUCUAUUAAAUAAUUUACUAUAACUAAAUGUGCAAAGAAAUUUUUUUAUUCUACAUGCCUAUGGAGAUUUCAUUUGAAUAAAAUAAAGUGAAAAUACCCAAUUAAUCCCCUGAACUAUACCCAAAAAGCCUAUGAGAAACCUCAACUUAAAGGGGGUCCUAUUACCCCCUGAACUAAUUAAAAGUGUAAUUUUGACACCCUUAGUGCCUACGUGACACAUACGUGGCACACACGUGUGCCUACGUGGACACUUCAGUGUGUUAUGCCACACACUAAGGGUGUCAAAAUUACACUUUUAAUUAGUUCAGGAGGGUAAUAGGACCCCCUUUAAGUUGAGGUGUGUCAUAUAGUUCAGGGGGUAAUUGGGCAUUAUCUCUAAAAUAAAAGUGAAACUUUACCACUUAGAAUAGAAAUGAAUAUUGUGUAUUAGAACUAACAAAAAAUGUUUAUUAAAAAUUGCGAAAGAAACUGUGGCAUCCACAUGAGAUAUUAUACAACUUUGGGAUAAGAUUGACAUUUACAAAAAAAAGAUUUUAUUUUUUUUGUCAUUAAAAAUUGGUUCGAAUCGGUUCAAAAAAGCAAGUUGAUCUCAUUUGUGCCAAGCUUGAUCUCAAAUCAUAUGAAUACUUUAUAUGUUUUUUUUUAGAAUUAAAUUUCAUAUUCUUUUAUGAAAGUUUUAUAAGUAUAUGAUACCAUAGUUAUAUUUUUUUUUAGACAUUUUUAUUCUAAUAAAAUAAAAAUAAAAAUUUCACAUUCUAAAAAAAAAUUUGAAAUUUAGAUAAUAUCUCAUUAAAAUAGAUUAAUUAUUAAUAUACAAAACAUAUUUUUGAGUAAAUUCCUCAUAUUGUCACUCAACUUAGAGAAAUAUCUUAAUAAAGUCAUUUAUCUUUUUUUUUUUGUUUCAAUAAUGUCACCCAACUUUAUGCAUUUUUCUUAAAAAUCAAUAAUUACUAAAAGUGACUCAGAAGAUGAGAGAAAAAUAAUCAAAAAAGUCCCUUAAGUUUGAACUUUGAAUUUAAAUGAACCUUAUUAGUUAACAAUAUGAAAUAUCAAUAACCUUUCAACUAUAAAACUUAGUGAGUACAAUUUUCUUUCAACUUCUAACUGCGAUAUUAAAUUUAACGACUUCCACCAAAAAUUACAAUUAAAAUUGUUAGAAAUAAGUUUAUGUGUACUAUAUUUAUUUGGAAGCAUAGGAGUUCAAUAAUAAAAUAAUAUUCUAUAUUUAUUCAUUUUAGGAUUAAUCUUUAUUUUUGAUAAAAUAGUUCAAGUUAGUUGUUAGUUUCUUCUACUGCAAAUUAUUAUCGAAAAAAAAAAUAUAAUUCAUAAAGAAGAUGAUGAAUUCCUGCAAAUUAAAAAAAAAACAAAACUAGGGUCUCUAGCUAGAAGAAGAACCAUAUGUAAAUAUUUUAAAGGAUUUUUAUUUUAAAAAAUAAUGCAUAUUAAUGGAUACCAUGAUAAUAACAUCAAGCAUUCACUAUCAAAUAAAAUUAGGUGAUUUUAUAUAACCAUUUCGUAACUUUAAAAUAUUUUAAUGUUUCAAUAUUGUUUAUCGGUCUUGUGAUAUUAUUUCAGAGAAAAUUAUAUCGCCUUGUCAACUUGACUGUUAAAACUGAACACAUUUACUAAUUUGGACAAUAAAUGUACUUCUUAUUUAUUUUAUUUAAAAUAUAACUACCUAUUUAAGCUCUAAUUUAACAUCCUUUGUCUUUUGUAAUUCGUUUUUAAUAUUAUGAUGUCUUUUUAAAUUAUAUUAUGCACUUAUUGAUAAAAUAUAUUUAAAACUAAUUUAAGAAGUACAAAAGUAAAAAUAAUUGGAGGCCUAUUAAUAUUUCAUGUAAAAAAAUAAGGACUAUUUAAAUUCAAAUUUCAAACUUAAUGGACUAUUUUGAUAAUUUUUUGAGUCACUUUUAGCAAUUAUUGGUUUGUAAAGAAAAUGCACAAACUUGAAUGAUAUUAUUUGAACGAAAAAAGGAUAAAUGACUUUAGUGGGACAUUUUCCUAAGUUGAGUGACAAUAUAAGGAAUUGACUCCAUAUUUUUUGAAAAAUUAUGAUUGAAAAAAAUGUGAAAUCCAACUUAAGUAUCACAUCAUUAGGGAACACUUGACAUUUUGGGAAAGACACGUCCACAAAUUACCAUCAUCAGUGAACUGGUGUAAAUCUACUAAACAAACUCUCUACAUAAUCUCAAUUCAACUUUUCUAUAACUACAUUGGCUAAUCUAGAAGCUUGGAAGGGCGUUAAAAAACAAUGCGAUGCAGUAUAUAAUGUCUUUUCAACAAAAACUGCCUGCAUGUUUCCACGAGGUAAGACUAUCUCUAGUGUUUCUUCUGGGGAAGAAACAAAACUUAGUUAAGAGCCUAUAUCUGGUUGGUGACAGGGGAAGAAAGAGAUACUAUACUUCUAGUACUUUAUUGUUUCACUAUCUUUUGUGCAAUAUCUAAGUUUUAUCAACCCGUCUCUCUUGUUGCGAUAAAACUAUUAAAAUUAGUGAGAAAAUGAAUACGACACUAAUCACCUAAUUUCGUUGCUAAUUCACUAAUACCAUCGUAGAUUUUCAGGAAAAAAAUAUUAUAUAGAUCAUCUUUAAUAUUAAUUUAAAAUUUAUAAGAGGAAAACUCAUGAGAACUGAAUGACAUCAGAAAAAAGACGAACACAUAUUUUUUUAUGGACUUAAAGGAGAUAUCACGAUUUAAGAGUGUGUUAGAUAUGAAAAAAAUGCUUUUCGCGAGAACUAUAGAUCAAUUAGUAGCUAUUUAUUUUAUCAUUUUUGUCCACUUUCAAAAAUCAGUUUGUAUAUUUUAUGGAGCCAAUGAAACAAAUCAAGACUUCUUAAAACGAAAAUUUUCUUCUCCUUUGAUAUAUGAAAGAUUGUCAAAACAAUUACAUUAUUAAAGUAACUCUUUAUAAUGUAUUUAAGUACAUCCAAACAGUUUUAAAAAGCACUUUUCAAAAGUUUUAUGUGAAAUGAUUUAUUUAGUUUAAACAGGAAAAAAAGAAUUUGUGCUUGAAAAUAAAAAGAGGAUGACAUUUUUAUUAGAAUUAGUGGUGACUUUUAGAUCUUUUUUUAAAAGGUAGAACAUGAAUGGAAUAAAAAAGGAAAAUACUAAAAAGGAAGAAAAAGAAAAUAGAAAUGAUGGUCAUGAAGAGGUGUCACACCACACUCUAUUGCAUUUUGAAUUAUAACUCAUCUAUCUCAAGCAUCUUUCUUUGAUCGCAUAUUGAAUCUGCAUUGAUAAUAUGUUAUUAUUUGAAAUAAUUAAAUUUGUAUAAUAAUUAUAGGUACUAAAUAAGGUAAUGAACUUUGAAUAGUUGCAAAAGAUGAGUAAUGUGUGUUAAGAAAUUUUAAUGGCAUCAAUAUUAUUAAGUGUAUUAAUUUUAAAUAAUUGAUAGUAGUUAAAGUUCUAGCUAGCUAGAGUAAGAAAAAAGAAUUUUGCAUCAAAAAGAAUUUUAAAAAGAGACAACAUGUAUCAAAUUAAGAACGUGACUUUUGGAGUUGUUGUAACGUAUAAUUUUAAUAUUCAAGAGGUAAAGAUGAAUGAAAUAAGUUGAUUUUAACUAAAUAAUUAUGGUAACUUUUAUCUUCCUUCUAAGAAAAAGUGAAACUUAAAUAUAGUAAGAAAAUCAGGACAAAAACCCUAACAAAAUGAUCAUACCAUCACAAAUAUAUGAAAAGACACACAAAAAAAUUGUUAAGAUUAGCAAAUGAUUGUAAAUCUAAAAUAUCAAGUACAACUCAAAUAAUUUUAAAUCAAUUUAAGCUCAAGAAACUGAAAAAGAAAGAUGUCUAAUGCCAAAAAAACACACAUACUAAAAACUUACAACCUCAAUUUUCUUCUUUUGCGUUCAAUCAUGGCUACAAAAUUCAUUGUUGUCCUCCGAAUAAAUCACUGUACUUGUUAAUACAUGAAAAGAAAAAAAUAAUCAUACCAUCACAAAUAUAUGAAAAGACACAAAAUAAAUUGUUAAGAUUAACAAAUGAUUAUAAAUCUAAAAUAUCAAGUACAACUAUCAAAUUAUUUAAAUCAAUAUAAGCUCAAAAACAGAAAAAGAAAGAUGUCUGAUGCCCAAAAACACUUAUACUUACAACCUCAACUUCUUUUGCGUCCAACCAUGGCUACAAAAUUCAAUAUUGUCCUCCAAAUAAAUCACUGUACAUAUAUAGAGGUUGUUCAAGUCAUAAAAAUUAGAUAAAAAAAGUUGAAAAGGCAUAUUACUUAAAGAGAAUAUUUAAUAGAGAAUGCAAAUGGAUGAAGGUUUUUUGUAACUCAUGAAAUGUAAUUAGAUAUAAUGAAUACAAUAGAUUUUUUUAUUUACUAAACAAAUUGAUAAAAGAAAAGAAUGAAGGAAAAAAUGUCAAGAAAAAAAAACAGAAAAAGAUAAAUGCCAAUGGAGAUCAUAGAGGGGUGCCACAUCACCUCCUCUAUGUUUCUCCUUUAUAUAUAUACUAGGAAAUGUAUCCGCGCUCUGCGCGGUCAUCAAAGACAUCUAUAAUAUAUAUAGCUUAUUUUCUUUCUCUAGAUAUAUGUAAAUUAAAAAUCUAAAACAUUGUUAGUAAUAUGGUGAUAAUUUUCGUACUUCAAGUGAUAUUAUAUUUUUGAAGUUGCCGAUUAAAGUGUAUGGAGGAUUUGAAUUUUAUAAAUAGUUUAUGUUUACAAUGUUGAUAUGUAUUUCUUAAUCAAUUAUUUCUUUGUUUUCUCAAACUGAUGAAGUUUAAAGAAAAUCUGUGUCUUUUUUUAUGUAUUUUUUUUGGUAAAGUAGAGAUGAAUUAGAUAAAGCAAAAGGGGCUGGCUCAAUCUGGCUCUAAUAAUAUUUUAAUAUUUUUUACAUACAAAAUGCAAAAUAAAAAAAAUAUACCUACUAAUUUAAAUAGUAAAAUACGAAGGAGGAUUCAAUUGAUGAUCUUCUUUAGAGAUGAAAAAGAGACUUUUUAUUCUUGUAAUUGAUGCCAAUUAUAUUCAAAAACACAAUCACAUAAGUAUGUCAUUUUUCAAACUUUAAACAAUCGUUCUCACAUGCUUUAUAUUUGUUAAUUUUCAAGUUUUGCAUAUUUCAUGAUUGGUGGUCUAAAAAUUUUAAAAAAUAACAAACAAACAAAUGAAGAUGUAUUUCAAAGUUCAAAAAUUAUUUCUUUUAAUAAUCAGUUAAAGUUUGACAUUUGAUGAUGUAACAAUAUAUCGUAAAACGAAAAUUAAGCAUUCACUGAAUCUCUCGAUAUUUUGAAAGAGAUUUUUUUUAAUGAUUGUCAAAGAAAGACAUUUACUUACUCAACUCUUUUUUUUUAUUGUUGUCAAAAUUCAUGAGUAUACAUUCAAUUCAAACUUCAAAUUGAGACUUACAUCAUUAUCUGUAAUUGAGCAUAUUUCAAUAAGAAAUGUUAAAUGUACACAAAAUUUAAGAAGCUUUUAGCUAAAUGUAUUUUGAAACUUUCAAUUUAAAAGGAUGUGAUAUAAUAAUUAAAGUUGUCUUAUAAAAGUAGAUUAUCUCAUUAAAGUAGGCAUGCGAGUUUUAUACCAAAAAAAAAAAAAUAAAGAACAAAAUAAUGUAAUAUAUAUUAUUUUUGCCAUCUUAAUAAUCAUAAACGUAAAAGUAAAAAUUAUGAAAUCAAUGCAUAAUUUUUCAAUCUCUUGCCUAUUCAUUUUCAUAAGACAUCAUCAUUUUGGAUUCAUUUUCUUCAAGUCAAAUUAAAGCAUGAAUAUGAUACUACAUGAAUUAUUAUAAUAUUACUACUUCAAAUAUGAACUGAGAAGAAAACUUUGCAUAGAGUCUCAUGAAGAAAAAUUAUGAACUUAUAUCGAUAAAAAUGAAGGAAUACUAUACGGUAGUUUAAUUAAAUAUUUGGGGGUUAUGAAUAUGAAAAGUAUGGGAGUUAUUGAAUAUUAUUAAGAAUAGGAAUUAAAUAGAUAAAUCAUGAAGGUAAAAAAUUCAGUGCAUGUCAAAGGUGGAAAAAAACAAAUACUAAGAAGAGAGAGCAAAUUGAAAAAAAAUAAUACUUCAAAAAUUGUACUUCCUUUUUAAGAAACGAACAACAAUGAUGUGAAGAAAAAAUAAAAAAAUAAUAAAGGAAAAUUGAUAUGAGGAAAUAUAUAGAAUCGAUAAGGCCUUUACUUUCAUCUCUCGUUAUUUAGUUUCUUAGUUGUAACUUAAAUAUAAUUUAAAUCAAUUAAACAUCUUAAUUAUCAAAUACGUGAGGUUAUACAAAUGAAUUUUUAAUAAUAUCAAAAAAGGAGAAAAAAAUAAAGAUAAAUGUCUUGUUAUAUCACAUCUUCUACAUUCUCCUUUAUUAUCACAUAUUGAUUCUACAAUUCAUUCAUUCAAAACGAUCAUUUUGCAGUAACAUUCAUGCUACUCACUACUUUUCAUUAUUUCAUAUAUUUUUAAUAUCUAUUUCACUUUUAAUUGGCUUUAUAUAGAUUUUUAAAUAUUGUAAAUUAGGAAAAUGGUUUUUAGAAAAAAAAAAAUAGAAAAAAUCGAAAAAGGGAGAAAAGGAAUAAAUAAGAAUGAAGAUCAUGAAGAAGUGUUAUAUUACGUGUAAACGUAAUUAGAGGUGCCAAAAGUAUAACUUUGAUUGCAAAACUGCAGAAAAAAAAAGUUUAUGAAAACUAAUGUCAUUACAAAUGAAAGAAAAGAAUACAUAUUAAAAAUAAAAUCAAAAUAAGAACAAAACAAAUAAAAUAGACUGUCUAAAACCACAAAGAAACUUAUACUUAUAUAUAAAUAAAUAAAUAAAUAAAUGCACGUCGAAAGAAGCCCCGAAAAAAGGAACAGAAGUAUUAAGUAAGUAAAACUUACCAGCCAUUCCAUUUGCUUUUCAAAUCUCUUCACCAUGUCAUAAUAUAUAGAGAGAGUUUGCCAAAUCAUCAUUAAUUUUCUUAAUUUAGUAAAGAAAAUGAAAAGGCAUUGAAAAUGAGGGGGUUUUGAAACAAAUAAAAUUUAAUUAUGUCAUCAUUCAUUUUUUAAAUGUCUAAUCUCUUUAAUUGUGUAAUUAAUUUAGUUUGAACAGUUUCAAUGGAGAACAAUAAUAUUGAACGAAAAUAAUAAAUCUCUCUUGAAUAGCUAAAUAAUAAAUAAAAAAAAAAAAUUUAUUUUUAGUAUAAAGGUCAAACAAAAUGAAAAAGAGAGAAAAAAGGACACUCCCUUAAUUUUUUUUUUUUUUGUUUUUUUUUUGACUCGAUAAAUAACUUAACAUAGUAUUACUUUUGUUAGAUUUAUAUAUUACUAGUGCCCCUUUCUCAAACGUCCCCCUUCCCCUCUUUUAAUUUUUGAUUUUUCUUGUAGUUAAAAUAGGAAAUGAUUAGUAAUAAUUAAUAUUAUAUUUUUUAAUUUUUUGAGUAUAGUGUAAUUUUAAAAAGAAUUUUUCUUUUUAUUUUAUUGCCAUUCAUAAUACGAUAUUUUUAUUGUGUACAAUCCUUUUGAAGUCACUUACCUUUUGAAAGUAAAACAUAUUUUUACUAAAUUAUUCUUAAUUGAUAUUCUCUCCAUCUCAAGAUAGUUAACACGCACUCCCUUAAUUUCAAAAUAAUUGACAUGUAUAUAAUUUGCACAGAUCUUAAGAAAAAAUUAAUAAAAGGCGUAAAAUGACUAAUAUAAUCCUAUUAUCUUUUUAAUAUUGAUUAUAUGAAUCUUGUUCAAUUAAUGAGGAAAUUAAUUACUAAGGGUAUGAUUGAAAAAAGAAAUUUUUUGAACAUUUAAACAUGCCAAUUAUUUUGAAAUAAUUUGUUUUGGCAAACAUACCAAAAAAUUUAAAUUUAGCUAUUAAUACUUUAAGUAAUUACCUAAUAAUAAUAAUAAUAAUAUAUANNNNNNNNNNNNNNNNNNNNNNNNNNNNNNNNNNNNNNNNNNNNNNNNNNNNNNNNNNNNNNNNNNNNNNNNNNNNNNNNNNNNNNNNNNNNNNNNNNNNNNNNNNNNNNNNNNNNNNNNNNNNNNNNNNNNNNNNNNNNNNNNNNNNNNNNNNNNNNNNNNNNNNNNNNNNNNNNNNNNNNNNNNNNNNNNNNNNNNNNNNNNNNNNNNNNNNNNNNNNNNNNNNNNNNNNNNNNNNNNNNNNNNNNNNNNNNNNNNNNNNNNNNNNNNNNNNNNNNNNNNNNNNNNNNNNNNNNNNNNNNNNNNNNNNNNNNNNNNNNNNNNNNNNNNNNNNNNNNNNNNNNNNNNNNNNNNNNNNNNNNNNNNNNNNNNNNNNNNNNNNNNNNNNNNNNNNNNNNNNNNNNNNNNNNNNNNNNGGGGGAAUCAUAGUUGUCUAGAUGUUUCUAUAGAGUUAUAGGUGCACAAAAUAUCUAAAAUGUCAAUAUGUAAGCUGUGAAAUUACUAUAAUGCCCUUGAUCGUCAUGGAGCUCACCUUUCUAUAUAAAACUAGAUAAGUAUGCCCUUACUUUUCACGAGCCCGACAUGAAAAGUGCAUAUGUUUGCUUUGAACGAUGAAAUUGAAGAAUAAAAAUUCAAGCAAUUAUUUUUCAUGCGUUAGAUAAACUGUUGAAUGAUAUUAGAGACAAUAAUUUGAAUAAAUUGUUUAUCUAUUUCGUGAACAUAACUAAUAGGAUGUCAUCCUAAACAAAAAUGACAGAAAGUUGUACACUGACAAAAUUCAUGUUUAGAAAACUGAAGUAGAAAGAUAAAAGAAAAUUGAUUUUUAUACCACUAUGAUAUACUAUAUUAUGGCUAUACUUUAUUCAGUUUCUCUAUAUUUACGUUUUCUUUUUUGCUUUUAGGUUGUCUAUCUGAGUACAACAGAAAAAAAUUUAUAAUUACUUACAAAACUAAACAUUAAUGAAUACCCAUCAAGACCCUCGAUUUAGAGGAUUUUCAGUUAUAUCAAAAGCAUGAUUAUACUUUGACCUGCUCAAAAUGCUCAAUCCUUUUAUAAAGAAAUUCAAAAUGAAUAUUGACAUUCAAUUAAAUUUUGAAUAAGCAAGCAAGCGACCUCGUUUCUUAUACUGGUUUGGGUCAAUGAUGAUUAAUAAGUAAGUGAAAUAUAUGUAAAUAAAGUGGACUUUUAUUAAACAUAUAAAGUAAUAUGUGGUGAUCCUGAAGUGAUCUCCAUACAAAAUCUCAUAGUUCGAAGGAAAUUCAAAUGUUAGAAAUUGACAAAAUUUGAUUUAACUGAAGACACAGAAUGCUAACUUGUAUAGACAUUUACCAAUCUUGCCAUAUUUUUUCCAUAGCUUUCAUUUUUGGCUCAUAUUGAUAUCAUUUUUUCUCAGUGCUCAAUAUGUAGCCUUAAAAAUGCCAUUUUCUCUUCUUUUUUUCCUCUCUAAAGUUGUCUCUAUUUUCAGAAGGAUAUACCUCUAAAAUCAAUUAGAACUGAACAUGGUACCUAAAGGGAGUUUAAGUAACUAAAGUUGUUAAUGUAUGCUAUUGUUGAUGUUUAACCACAUUUAAAAUCUGUUAUAAAAGAAAUAAAAGAUACUUUAGUGACUUAGUCUCUUGUUCCUUCUUGUCAAGGUCAUUCUUUAACAUUCCAAACACAAGUUAAUUUUUCAUCAACUGAGAGAUAGAACUACUUUCAAGUUAAGCAACCUCGAAUAACUACAAAAUUGAGAAGCUGAGGACUACCUUAAAAAUUUUAUAUUUAAAUCUUUGGAUUAAGCACUUUGUAAUCUUAUCAGGUUGCAAAAAAAAAUUCUCUAUCUUCACACAACUAUUUCACUUGCUAAAUAAUAGUAUUUUAUUUAAAAAAGAAUGAUCUGCUUUGACUUGACAUGAAUUUUAAGAAAAUAAUGAAGACUUUUGAAUUUUGUGGUCUUAAAUUAAAUUUACGUCAAAUUUACUUUAAUUGUGUCGUCUCAAAGAUGCCACAUGAAAAAUUAAAAUUAAAGUGUUCUCAAAAAAUAAAAUGAGUCAUUAUUUUUUAAACGAAUUAAAAAGAAAAGUGCAUCAUUAUUUUUUAAGUGGGGGUGUAUAAUUUUGGGAUAUGAAACCUCUUAUGCUAGAUGGAGUACAAUAAUUAUUUGGUUGCUUUAGACAUAACCACAAUGAACUUUUAUUGAAUCAGUAAAAUAAAAUGUGAUAAAUCAUGGAGUGAUUUACAUAAAAAAAUCCUACAGUUCGAAAGAAAUUCAUGUGUCAAAAGCUGAACAACAUUUAUGCUUUUGAUAAUAUUUGCUUUUAAAUGAAGACAUGGAAUGCUCACUUGUAUAGACAUGUACAAAUCAUGCCAUAUCUUUUCCAUCGUUUUCAUCCAAAAGAACUAUUUGAUUGCUUUAGACAUAACCAAACAUCUUGGCUCCAUUAAGGUUCUUCCUUUUUCAUUGAAAAUUUAUUUUAUUUGUUGGCAAUUUAAUGUAACAAUGUUGUUAUAAUUCAUGAGCUAAAGCAAAUCUAAGAUUAUAUUCAACAGGAACAAAUGACUUAUCGAUCAUUGAAAAAAAUAAAAUUUUAACCAUAAAAUUUUAUAAAUAAUUUAAAAUAACAAUAUUAUAAAAAAAGUAUGUUUGUAUAAAUCCACUUUACUAAAUGUAAUUUCAGCUGCUUCAACGUUAAGAUAUUAAAAUAAAAUCACAGAAGUUUCAACAAAAAACAAAUAGUAAUUGGUUAUAGUAUAAAGAGGAAAAAAAACAAAAAAAACUAUAGUUUACUUCUUUCUGAAGGAGUAGCAGUUGCGGCAGCAUCCAUCGAUGUUGAAAUUGCAGCAACACAAAGCUUCUCUGAAAUCUCAUCUACUGUUGUAAUAAAUAAUAAGACACUUCUUUGUCCACGAAAUACAAAGUGAACACCUAAAGCAAAUAUUCAUAUAUGGAUGAUGAAGAGUUAUUAUUCUAUAAUAUCAACAUGUUUUGAACUUAAAAAUAAACUGCAAAAUCUUAUAUUCGUGCCGAAAUAGUUAUUUUACAUAAAAGGGUACUUCUACCUAAAAUAAUUCUUUUGUUGACUGAAAUACUUUAAAAAAACAUUAAGAAAGAGAAUUAGAAGUCAAAGAAAAAUCUAUUUUUAUUGAAGAAAAACUUGAGAUUCAUAUUUAAAUCAAAUAAAGAUCCACUUAAUAUCAAUGUUUAAGUCUCUUUUGAUUUGAAGUCUAGCCUUUGUCUUUUCAAGAGUUGAUUUAAGGAUAUAUUUUCAUAUAUUGACCCGUAUGAUCCCAAGAUUCUCUUAUGCAUUAGGGCAUAGUAAAAAAAUAGUCUAUGUUGAUUAAACAUAACUAAUCUACUACCCUGACUUUGUAAGUAGCAGGGCAGUCAAGACUCCAUACAUUACAACCUUUUAGUUGAGGAGCAGAGAGUCACUAACAAACAAUCCAUCUAAAAUGUCUAGGAUAUAUAGUGUAGACAAUUCAACUUAAUAUAACAUCAUAUUACCUUCAAGUAUAGUCCAAUCCAGAGCCCCGACUUCUUUAUCAACAAGAUAUUUUUCUUGAGAAGAGAUCAAAGAAAAAUCUUAGUAAUCUGAUUACCAAAGCAAUGUUUCCUAUUCAGAUAAAGAAGUCUUUUCAUAAUAGGAUUCGACAAAUGUGACUAAACUACAAUAGGAAUCUAUAUGUAAGUUCUUUCAAGACACCUUCACAGAGUAAGCCCCGACUAAUUUAGUAGAAAUAUUCCUAUAAAGGAUACUAAUUAGAAUGUGAUACAUCUAAUUCAUAGCCUCCCACGGAUUCGUUUAUAAUUUAAGAUGCUUUCACAGAAACGAUAACAACUUAAGGCGAAUUGAAUCAAUUGGCCUUCUAAUUUCUGCCAUGCAAAUGAUGCCUUUUGGUGGCUCUCCUCACCGCAUUCAAAUCAUUCUCAGUAAUGAAGUUUUCAUUAGUCAACAAUAAAAUGUAUCUGUAAUAAGUUUAUCAUCUAAAUUUUGACCUUAUAAUUAUCAAGAGAUGAAAAUGAUAAGCAAAUUUUUUGUAGCUGAAGAUAAUUUAUUUAUUCUUUUAAAAAGAAACAAUCAGAUUGUGUAUAAUCAAAAUUAGAACGAUCAUAUUUUGAAAUUUGAAAAGAAUCCUCAAGCAAAUGGAAUUACAACCUUAAUUUAUUUUAACUAAAAGUUUGAUUUUUCAUUCAACAUCCUUGAUAUUCAGCCACUACAACAACAACAAUAAUAUACCAAUAUAGUCCGACAAAGUAAGGUCUGAGAGUAUAGAGUGCAGGCAGAACUUACAUCUACCUCGGAUGUGAGAUAGAGAGUUGUUUUCGACCGAUUCUGAUUCAAGGAAAAAACUGUUUGGGAUGAAAUUCAAUCACUAAAAUAGAAAAUCUAAAGAGAACUGAAAAGAAAUUCAGGAAUUUUUUUUAUACACUUAGAGGUCGUUUGGUUGGAAAAUAAGUUAUGAUGAAAUUAGUUAUGUUGGAUUAGUUAUACUGGGAUUAAUUGUUAUCGAAUUAGUUAUCCUGUUAUUAUUUUUCUGUGGUUGUUUGGUUUGUGAUACUAUUAUUAUUUUUUAGUGAUUGUUUGAUUUGUGAUAUUAAAAAUAAUAUGCAUUGCAUUCUUUCUAAGAAUAAAUAAUUUAUUUGCAAAAAUACUCUCACCUUAUUUAGCUUAAUUAUUUUUCUUCAUAUUAAAACAUAAAAUAGAAAUUGAAAGUUACUAAUUUUUUUUAUUAACUUUAAUAUUUUUUUUCUAAAAAUACAUGUUAAGAAAUUUAUGCUUUUCUUAAAUGUGUAUGAAGCUUUAAUAUUUCAUGUUAAAUUACUUAUUUUGUUCCAAAUUCUAUAAAAUGUGGAUAGUCCCAUUUUUUGUUAGAAAAAAUCACCAUCAAAAAAAUGUGAAAAAGUAUUACUCGUAUUUUUCAUUAUUUUGUAUCAUUAAUAUUUGGAGAGUUAAAUUCUAUUUUUAAAAAAUUAAAUUUUAAUAUUUUUAGCUAUAUAUAAAAAAAUAAUUUCUUAUUUAAUAAUUAAGCAUGCACUAAGUUAGACAGGGAAUAUCAAGAUACUUUAAUUACCUAUCCAUGAUAAAUUUGUUAGGAAAAAUAAACAUUUCUACAAAAUAGAAAGACAAUAAAUCCUUGGAUCAAUUUUGAAUUUGAUUGUAUAAAUAAUUUUUAUGGUAUCACUAUCUUUUUUUCAUGAAUCAUCACUUUUGUAGUAUUUAAUAAGUCCAAAUAAUUGUUCAAAUUUAUCAAAAUGGAGAAAGUUUGUAGAAUAAUUAAAAUUUAAAUUAGGGAUAAAAUUGAUGAAAAAAUUGAUGUGAGGACUACCAAAAUGUCAAAUUCUCUCUUGUGUAUAGUAAUGAUUGUGGCACAAAAAGAAAGUUGAAGAUUUCGUUAUUUUGAAAAAUAGUAGAUAUUUCUAGAAAUAUUUUGGCAAAGAGAGAAUAUUUUUGGAUUGAGUUUAAUGAAUGUUGAAAAGUCGAUUUUACCCUUGAUCGUCCUUGAACUCAUCUUUCUAUAUAAUAAAAAAAAUAUCUAAUUAAAAUAUAGUAAUAUAUAAUGAAAUAAUUGAUUCUUACAUAUACAAACAUUAUUUUAUAUAUUUUAUUUAGAUCAAUGUUAGAAAGGAGAUAUAGAAAUAACAGGACCUUCCAAUAACUCCAAUAACUUACCAUCCAACAACAUUAUCAGCCUUAUCAUGUUCAUCUGGAUGCAGCAGGCUAACUAAUUGUUUGCAAGACUCAAAAUGGAUCACCAGUUAUUUCCGAGUCCGGAGCUUAAAGGACAAGUUUUUUUAUUAAAAAUUUUAAAGUGACAUAUCAAAAUUGAAAAAUAUCAAAAUGGACAAGGGUAACACAGGUGAUUACCUUGUCCAUUAAAAGUUAACGCCCGUUUGGUUACAUGCUAAAAUGCAAGGUAAAAUUGUGAUUUUACAAUGGACCUGCUUACCUUAUUUUUUGACUGAAAAAGUUAGUUUUCUAUUAGACAUCUUGACACUAUUAAGAACGACAUCGAACUAUGUCGGAAAACUAAAAAGACGAUGAAGAUGUUGAAAAGGAAGAAGAAGUAUACAAAAUCCAAUUUUCACAAUAAAAGAGAACUUGGAACUCAAGAACAAAUCUAAAUUAGUUUAGGACCAUACUUAAACAUUACACCACGGAAUUGCUUUUUCGCAGUAAUAGGUCCACCAACAGAAACACAGUCAGCAUCACCGAAAGCGGCGAUCGAUUUUUCUAUUAGGCAUGUUGACACUAUUAAGAAUGACCACGAACUAUGCCAGAAAAUAAAAAAUACGAUCAUGACGAUGUUGAAAUAGAAGAAAAAGAAGAAGUUGACAGAUCCAUUGAUUAAGAAAAAUAGAAAACGUAGAUAAGAGUCGGCAAAAGAAUCAUCGGUUUGAUUUUGUGAGAAAGAUAGGUAAAUAUUAAGUCAGACAUAUUGACCAUCUUGCCCUCAAUAAUGUAUAUAUUUACACCUUUGCCCUUGAUCAUCCUAACAUUACCUCUUCUAUCUAGUGGUAUAUAUAUAUAUAUAUAUAUAUAAAAUAAAAAUCUAGUAAUAUAUAAUAAAAUAAUUGAUUCUUACAUAUACAAUCAUUAUUUUAUAUGUUUUGUUUAGAUCAAUGAAAUUCAUAUAAGUAUAUUUUAACUUAUUAGUUAUUGUGAUUUAUAAUACUUUCAAUGUAAUUUUUAAAUAUAAUAAUGAAUUAAAAAGAAAGUACAAAAUUAACCGAUAUAAGAAUAUUAUAAUUUGUUAAUUAUUGUGUUUAUAAUAAUUUUUUUAAUUAUCGUAAUUUAUAAUUUUUUUAUUUAAUUUUCAAAUGUAUAAUGAAAUUAAAAACAAGUAAAAUAAGUAAUUAAAACAGAAAAUAUUACUAAAUUUUUUGAAGUAGUAUGUAGAAAAAAUAAUAAUAAAUCAGGAAUGAUAUAGUAAAAUUAUGGUUGAAACAGUUGAAAUAGACAUGUCGACCAUCAGCUGCCAGCAACUUUAUUGUGACUCGGUAUGUAGGAGAACAAUUUUAUAUAUGACAUAAUUGUCAUGUAAUUAUUUAUUUAACAUUUAAACUUCUAUAAUUAAUUAAAACUAUUAGCUAUUAAAAUCUUUCCUUGUUUUUUUUAGAAACUCCAAAUAUUUAGGGAUAUAAAUCGAAUAGAAUUCUACUUAUAUAAAUUUCCUUAUUUCAGAAUUGUUUCAACAUGAAAAAAAAUUAUGCAAUAAUUAUUUAACAAAAAUAUAAAUCUUAAUACUGGAAAAUUAAAGCUUCUUUUGAUUAUUCAAAUAGUGAGGAAGUAUGCAAUAAUUAUUUAACAAAAAUAUGAAUCUUAGUACUGGAAAAUUAAAGCUUCUUUUGAUUAUUCAAAUAGUGAGGAAGGGAAGCCUUUAUAGUGAAGUUGUUGCCAUGUGACAAGAGGUUGCAAAAUUCAAGGUAAGCUUGCAUCCGUUAGAUCCUUGUGAUUCGACCUUUCUCCAAACCCGCACAUAAUGGACACUUUGGUACACCGGGCCGUUAAGGUCAAACCAUUCUAGCUGAUAUAUUAUAGGCCCAAAAUAUGAGCUUUUCGGCCUUUCCACUUUUCUGCACUCUCACAGAAGGUAACUCUUCAACAGAUAUGCUUUGUUAAUUUGGCUGCAGUGUAAAACCACCACCUUUUUCACUGAAGCUAUAAAUCUUUCUCCAAAGAUUGUGUCUGCGUUGAAGAGCGAUGGAGUGGCAAGCCUUACGUUAGAAUCCUAGUGAAAGGACAAAUUUAUUCUGGGAUAAGGUUCUCCCUCCCCUACUAGUAGUUCUCGAUCGAGAGCGCCUUUUCUUCGCUCUAUUCCCCAGGCUAAGCGGAUAGUAGAGUAAAAUGUUGAAAUUUCUUUAGCAACUACAACAACAUUUUAGUAUCCAUAACCAAUGGACACAACUUAUCACGCAUGGACGGAGGAGGCUUGGAGAAGUAAUAAUAUUUGGACGUAAGGUUGAAUAGAACAGAAUGUACCAUGUGAAAGCAACUUGCAAUAGUAAAAUAACCAAGCCGACAUAUAAAGCAUUUGGACUCAUCAAUUAUCAUCCACAUGUGGACGCAAAAUUUAAAAUCUUCAGCUUGUUGUCUACAGUUGUUAAUAACCUAAUUGGUCUAAUGGUCUAUAACCAAAACACCCACUGAGCAUACCAUUCAUGGGCCCUAAACAUGCUUGAAUGGUUGCCAUCAUCCUCCAGAACAUAAGAGUUCCUUGGAGGCGAAAGAUGAAGCAAACCUCAACUCAUGUGAAGCCUUAUUCACAUAGCGCAUUCUUAGCUUAGUAGACACCUCUCAUUAAAGAAGAAAGUUCAUCAAUGGACCAAAGGUCCACAGCAUUUUCGCCACCCUGAGAUGCAUCUGCGUUAAGGAAAGCAUCAACUGAUACAUCCCAAUUUGCUUCCGGAUAUGGGGUGUGAAAGAACUUCAUCUGGGAUUCAAAAGCUGGAAAUUCUUCAGGUGGCUUGUUAGCAGUGUUUCCAUCAUCGGGCACCAAAUUGUUGGAACAAGAUUUUAGUUUCACCUCCACAUCGGCACCUUCAACAAAUUGAGUUUCAUCACAUUCUAUAGCAGCUGACAGAACAGAUGAUAUUUCUGGAGUCCUGGAACACGUUUCUCCCCAACCAAAGUCGGAGGGGUCAAAUGAGUUACUUCCUUGGUCAGAAUUGAAGUAAACACCAGCAGCAGGUGGAGGGACAUAUGAGUUAGGUCCCACAUUUACAGUAGUAGUGCGCAAAACUUCAUAGCCAUACAGUUUUUUCGUUUUCUCUUCAAAAAAGCCCAGGUUGUUGCAACAUCCAUCAGUCAAAUUCAUUAACGCGGUGUCGGACAGAACUGGGUUGGAGCUCUCAUCAGAAAGAACCUUCUCAGGAUUUACCUUAGCAGCUUGCCUUGGGGCAGGAACUGGAGCUUCAUCAGGAAAGUUUACCUUAGCUUUAUUGCCUCUGAUCCUCCGAGCUUCAACAUCAUAAGCUCUGGCAGCUUCUUCUGCAGUACUGAAAGUUCCGAGCCAGACGCGGACUCCCUUCUGUGGAUCACGUAUUUCAGCUGCCCACUUACCCCAAGGACGCUGUCUGAUUCCCCGAUACUGAUUCUUCCUCUUUCUCUUGGAAGACUUCUCAAUUUCCUUGUUUGAAUCAACAGAAUUCAAUGAUUUGGAUCCUUCCACAUAUGAAAUAAAAUAAGUACCUCACUCAUCCACAAUAGCACCACAAUUUGCAAGAAGCAAUCCAUCACCACAAUGACAUAACAAUGAAUAAGAAAUUGAGAAACCCACAGAAACAACGUGCACAUAACAUGUUCCAUAAUUGCUUACAAUAUUAUCAAGCCAAGUUCUCCCAAAAUUUUCCCGGUAUCUUGAUCGAACUACACUAAUAAAGAACAUGUUCCUUAGUCUCAUUUACACGAAACUUAGAAAAGAACACAGCAAGCUAAGACCUUAGAUUUUUACUGUAGGCAUCAUGUAGCCAAACCCAACAGGCAGAGGAAUCAUAAUCCGGGGAACCUGCUCUGCGAGUACCUAUUUCAAAACCAAAUUGUGUUUGAACAGAGACUUCUAAUCCAAAUAAACAGAUCACGUGAAUCUUGAUAAUCUAACAAAAGAAUUUGAAGAAUUUGUUAGAUUAAGCAAACCAUCAAAUUGGGCUAAGAAGAAACUCAAAUACAACUGAAGCUAGCUAAAAUCUUAGAUCCAUACCCAGCGUCCCAGCCAUAUAGUUAUGUUUACAGUCACGACACACCAUGAAACUUUCAUACACCAAAUAAGAACUUACUAUAGAGCCCUAAAGAAAUUAAGGAGCAUCUUCUAUCUGAAUUUUUUUUCUAUAUUUCCAGUUAAUAAUGGAGAAAAUAGCAUCUUGGCUUCUUGUUCGACACUCCAGAUAAAGUCAUCUUCUUUGCUUAGAUGAGCAGCCAUCAACAUAAAUUGAAUACCAAUAAUUUCAAUAAAACUAAUAAUUUGGACCCAUUUCAAGCUAAAUUCAGCAUUUUUGGCAAAAACAGGAAAAGCAUUCCAAGCCCAAAGAAUAGUCAUAUGCUAAAUGCAAAUGGAAUACCAAUAUUUUCGACUUAAGUAGCAUUUCAUGCUAAAUUCAACUUUUCUGACAGAACCAAACAUCUCCAAGCCCAAAGAAUAGCCAAUAGUAGAACUAACUCAAGUGAAGAAUAAAUGAAUAUAAGAAAAAAUUUACCCAAUAACAACAUAGCAGAACCUCAGAAAUGCUCAAACUUCAGCCCGAAGAAGAAAAAGAUCCAUCCAACCCAGAAAUAAGACAAAUACCACACUUUAUUCCAAAUUUGAAACUAGUUAAGAUACACUAUAUUAAUCCUCAAUAUAUCUAUUUCACUCCAUUUGAGUAAAUUUCAUUCACAGAAAACAAAAAAAACUUUUAAGAUGUACUCCCACCCCAAUCUUUUUUUGGAUGAUCAUGGUGUAAGAGAUGCAAGAGGUUGGAAAUAUUGGGGGCGAAAAGAGGCAGAGGUAAGCCGAAGAAGUAUUAGGGAGAGGUGAUUAGACGGGAUAUGACACAUAUUCAACUUACUCAACUUACUGAGGACAUGACUUUAGAUAGGAGGGUAUGGAAGUCGUGGAUAAGGUUAGAAAGUUAAUAAACAGUUCAACUUUGUCUUAGUAUUAGCCUAUUCUUGUAAUUGGCUUGGUGGUAGUGUAGAGCACCGGGUUUGUCGUAGUAUUAGCCUAUUCCUAUAGCCUUAGGACUUUGGUAUCUGAUAUCAUAUGUUGUUUAUAACAUUUAGGUGAUCGCACCUUUUUGUUGACGCUAAGGUUCUUUGUAUAUAUGCUUAGCUCUGCUUAGAUAUUAGUUGUCAUGUUUCUCCCGUCAUACCUUUUUUUCUUUUUAAUUACUGCUUUGACAUGCUUUAUUUGAGUUGAGGGUUUUUCGGAAAUAGCAUCUCUACCUCCAAGAGGUAGUGGACUAGUGGUAAGGCUUGCAUAGACUCUACUCUCCCCAAGCCCCACUCUUUGGGACAUCCCACUAGGUAUGCUGUUGUUAUUGUAAUCGUGGUGUACAGGUCAGCUUUCGCACAUCAACUACUUCCACGAGAUACCUACCACCUUCUACCAGCAACAGGUGCUAGGCAAUUUUAUCAACUGAGGCUACGAUAAAUGGGAAAAUCAUUGCAACCGAUUUCAUUGACAACUAAGCCACAUUCUUAGCUGGUCUCCUAUCCAAAUUUAUGUCCCUCUUUCCUUUUUUUUUUAAUAGUCGAGGUCACGAGUUCAAGCCUUAGAAACAGCCUCUGGCAGAAAUUGCAAGGUAAGACUGUGUACAAUACACCUUUGUGGUGGGGCCCUUCCCCAGACCCUGCGCAUAGCGGGAGCUUUAGUGCGUCGGGCUGCCUUUUUUUUCCUUUUCUAGUCAACCUUAAGUAACAAUUUAACUUUACAGUUCUAAUUUUAUCAUUUACAACCACACAAUUAUAAAUGACAUAUUUUAGAUCAAACAUGUUUCAAAAGUCUUUCUUAGAGGUUGUAGCAGCUACGGGCUAUCCUAGGGUUCCCAAAAAAAAGUCUUUCUUGGAGUGGCAAAAUUAGCUCAUGAAAUCAGAAUUUGGGCUACAUAUAAACCUACCCAUCUAUUAACUCAGCUCAACCCAUUUCAUCCGACCAAAAUUUGGACCGAUUUCUAGUCCAAAUUGAUCCAUCAGAACUUUUCUCAAAAUAUUUUUUUACUUCAUAUAUUAUAUAUAACAAAAAAAAAAUAUAUCUUAUUAGGUACUGAGAAAAAUUAUAAAAGAACAAAUAAAACAUAGCAAGAAUGGGGUGGUACGGUUUUGACCCGUAUAUUAGCCCAUUAAGCCGACAUUUAUUAACUUGGUCCAUCUUAACCCACCAACAUUCGGGUAAACUAAGUAAAUGGCCCACUAGUGACUUUGUUUUUUUGUCCACCAUAAGAAAAGUCCUACAAACUAGCCUUCCUUCUUUUUGAUGUGUAGGACUUUUACCUAUUUGUCCCUCUAUACAUCAAAUAACUUCAACUCUCCAUGCUUAUUUACCUUACAACUUUUAAUCUUUUUUCCUUUUUUUUUAAUUUUUAAUUUUUUCUUUUCUUUUUUUUUUUUUAAAUUCAACCUUUACGUUUUUUUUCCUUUCUCUUCUCAACUACUAUUUAUUUUUCUUUGUUCUUUUCUCGUUUUAUUCUUUUUUAAAGAAAUUUUCUCAACCUUUAUUUUGUUUUUGUCAUUUUUUCUUAAUCUUUUUUUCUUUUAGUUUUUUCCUUUUCUCCUCUCAACUUUUAUUUUUUCCUCUUUUUUUAUUUGAUUUUUCUUUUUUCUUCUUUUAAAAAUAUUUUUUUUCAUUUUUUCCCUCAACUUUUAUUUUUUUCCUUUUUCCUUCAUUUUUUCCCUCAACUUUUAUUAUUUUUCUUUUUUCUUCAUUUUUUCCUUCAACUUUUAUUAUUUUUCUUUUUUCCCUUUUAUUUUCUUCAAUUCCUUCAAAGAACAAGUUACGCCCCAUGAGAAAAAUUGUCAUUACCACAUUGUGUUUUGAUUUAUAAGAUGUUCUAUAAAUCUUGCCUUAGAGGUAGGACUUAGCCUAAGGACUUUCAAAUAAAAUGUUACGUUCCACGGGCAAAAAUUGUCACUACCACAUUGUGUUUUGAUUUCUGAGAUGUUUUAUAACUACUGCUUUAGAGGCAAGACUUAGUCCAAGGACUUUCAAACAACAAAUUACGCCCCAUGGACAAGAGUUGAUACAACCACAUUGUGUUUUGAUUCAUGGGAUGCUCUAUAACUCUUGUCUUAGAAGCAAGAUUUAGUCUAAGGACUAUCAAAUGACAUGUUAUGCCCCAUGGGUAAGAGUUGACACUACCAUAUUGUGUCUUAAUUUAUGAUAUAUUCUAUAACUCUUGUCUUAGAGACAGAACUUAGAUCAAGAGCUUUAAAACAAUAAGUUAUGUCCAAUGAGCAAGAACUGACACCACCUCGUUGUGUUUGAUUUUCGAGAUGCUCUAUAGCUCUUGCCUUAGAGGCAAGACUUAGGUCAAGAACUUUCAAACAACAAUUUACGCGCCAUGGGCAAGAGUAAACGCUACCGCAUUGUGACUUGAUUUAUGAGAUGUUCUAUAACUCUUAUCUUAGAGACAAGACUUAGACCAAGGGCUUUCAAACCAAAAGUUACGCUCCAUGAACAAGCGUUGACACUACCACAUUGUAUUUUGAUUUAUAAAAUGUUCUACAACUCUUGCCUUAAAGACAGGACUUAGCCGAAGGACUUUCAAACAAUAUGUCCCAUGGACAAGAAUUAAUACAACCAGAUUGUGUUUUGAUUAAUGAAAUGCUCUAUAAUUCUUAUCUUAGUGGCAACACUUAGCACAAGGACUUCCAAAUAACAAUUUACGCCAUGGUCAAGAGUUGACGCUUCCAUAUUGUGUCUUGAUUUAUGACACUCUAUAACUCUUGCCUUAGAGACAAGACUUAGCCCAAGGACUUUCAUACAAGUUAUGCCUAUGGAUAAGAGUUGACACUACCACAUUAUGUCUAAAUUUAUGAGAUAG